Molecule: ribosomal RNA, 406 nt
Filed under: uncultured Pelotomaculum sp.
Lineage: Bacteria; Bacillati; Bacillota; Clostridia; Eubacteriales; Desulfotomaculaceae
Description: bacterial SSU rRNA
Rfam family: Bacterial small subunit ribosomal RNA
Source: RNAcentral
UGGGGAAUCUUCCGCAAUGGGCGAAAGCCUGACGGAGCAACGCCGCGUGAGUGAAGAAGGCCUUCGGGUCGUAAAACUCUGUCUUCAGGGAAGAAAAAAAUGACGGUACCUGAGGAGGAAGCCCCGGCUAACUACGUGCCAGCAGCCGCGGUAAAACGUAGGGGGCGAGCGUUGUCCGGAAUUACUGGGCGUAAAGGGCGCGUAGGCGGUCAUUUAAGUCAGAGGUGAAAACUACCGGCUCAACCGGUAGCCUGCCUUUGAAACUGGAUGACUUGAGGGCAGGAGAGGGGAGUGGAAUUCCCAGUGUAGCGGUGAAGUGCGUAGAUAUUGGGAGGAACACCAGUGGCGAAGGCGGCUCUCUGGCCUGUUUCUGACGCUGAGGCGCGAAAGCGUGGGGAGCGAACGG